GCCUGGGUGGCUCAGUCGGUUAAGUGUCUGACUCGGUUUUGGCUCAGGUCAUGAUCUCACAGUUUGUGGGUUCAAGCCCCACAUCAGGCU
This 90-nucleotide transfer RNA is filed under the name Felis catus (domestic cat). It matches the Rfam family "tRNA". Rfam says of the family: Transfer RNA (tRNA) molecules are approximately 80 nucleotides in length. Their secondary structure includes four short double-helical elements and three loops (D, anti-codon, and T loops). Lineage: Eukaryota; Metazoa; Chordata; Mammalia; Carnivora; Felidae. The record is from Rfam by way of RNAcentral.